Molecule: ribosomal RNA, 253 nt
Filed under: uncultured bacterium
Lineage: Bacteria
Description: partial 16S ribosomal RNA
Rfam family: Bacterial small subunit ribosomal RNA
Source: RNAcentral
UACGGGGGGGGCAAGCGUUGUUCGGAAUUACUGGGCGUAAAGGGCUCGUAGGUGGCCAACUAAGUCAGACGUGAAAUCCCUCGGCUUAACCGGGGAAUGGCAUCUGAUACUGGAUGGCUUGAGUUUGGGAGAGGGACGCGGAAUUCCAGGUGUAGCGGUGAAAUGCGUAGAUAUCUGGAGGAACACCGGUGGCGAAGGCGGCGUCCUGGACCAACACUGACACUGAGGAGCGAAAGCCAGGGGAGCAAACGGG